This 20564-nucleotide long non-coding RNA is filed under the name Carica papaya (papaya). RNAcentral describes it as "long non-coding RNA (CPAP_LNC009131)". Lineage: Eukaryota; Viridiplantae; Streptophyta; Magnoliopsida; Brassicales; Caricaceae. The record is from RNAcentral.
GAGGAGUGAGUAUAAGUCGCCGAUGUUGGUGACGCGAGAUGAUGGUAUUCGUGUGUGUGUGUGGCCUCUUUAGGUCGAGAGGUGGAGGAGUGAGUAUGAGUCGCCGAUGUUGGUGAUGCGAGAUGAUGGUAUUCGUGUGUGUGUGUGGCCUCUUUAGGUCGAGAGGUGGAGGAGUGAGUAUGAGUCGCCAAUGUUGGUGACGUGGAAUAAUGGUGUUUGUGUGUGUGCGUGGCCUAUUAGGUCGAGAGGUGGAGAUAUGGGUAUGAGUCGCCGAUAUUGGUGACGUGGAAUGAAGGUGGUUGUGUGUGUGUGUGUGUAGCAUCGUGAGGUCGGGAGAUGGGGGAAGAGUGUAUGAGUCUCCGAUGUUGGUGACGGGAGUUAAUGGAUGAUUGUUGGGUGGGUGUGGUUGUUUGGUCGUGCUAUUUCCUUGGAAUAGGACCUUGAUGAUUAGUGUAGGGAGGGGGUUAUGAGUUGUUUGGGGUUGGGUAGGAUAAAUGCAUAUAGACAUUUCUGGGAAUUCUUGUCACUGCAUAUUGCACUUACAACUUGAUUUUUAUCGUAUUGAGUUAUGUGAACUCACUUCUCAUCAUUCACAGGUGGAGUAAGAACGGAAUUGGGAUCCGAGCGGCUGGUAACGGAGCCCCGUCGGUAGUGCCAUAGGGCACAAGUUUUGUUUGUGAUUUAAAGUAGUUUGAAAGGAUGGUUUAGUCUGGAUAUUGAAUAUCUAGGAAUGUUUGAUAUUGUAUUACUAUGUGUUGUAGAGGUAGAGAUGUAUGUACAAUUGAUUUGGAACAAGGAAGGUGGACAAGUUUCUCUUGUGCAUGGUUGGAAUAAUAUGGAUUUCGGUAUUGUGUUGUAUGAGUGCUUUAUCGUAUACCGUUAAGAAAAAAAAAAAAACGGGGUGUUACAAGGACAUUGGUGAAGUUAGGUUUGUCCUUAGCGUAGACAUAAUGAGAGACCAUCCCAAAAAAUUUCUACGAGUGUGCUAAGAAGCAUAUAUUAAGAAACGAUUUUAAAUGCAUAAUUUCAAACCCGUUGACACUCUUGUUAAGAAGGGUUUAACCUUUAGUCUUGAUCAGUGCCCAAAGAUAAAUGAAGAGAAAAAAAAAAGCAAUAUUCCUUAUACUAAUGCGAUAGGCAGUUUGAUGUAUCUCAUAUUAUAUACACGACCAGAAAUUUGUUUUACAGUUGGUUUGGUAAGUCGUUAUCAAAGUUCUCAGUGGGCAAAAAAAUAAAUAUUUUAUUUUAUUACUUAUGUAUUAAGAUUAAUCUGAAUUUUCUUAACCGAAAAUGUAACACCCAAAAUAAUUUUUUUCUAUUUUAUUUUUUUAUUUUUGAUUUAAUUUAAUUUAAAUUAAUUUUUGUGAAUAUAAAAUAUUAAUAAUGAUAAAAUUGGGUAAAAAUAUUAUUUGGAUUUAAUUGAAAUUGAUUUUGGAAAAAAAGUGGUGAAAAUUUGGAUUCAGGGGGUAUUUUUGAAAAGAAAUUCGGAAACCAGGGGUCAAAACGUAAUUUAGAAAAAUUGUGCCCCGUCAGCGUCACGUCAGCAGCCACGUCAGCGGCCCAGUCAGCAACCCUGGCCAACGAGGACCUGCCGCGUGGCAAGGCCACGCCGACCCGGGAACGGGCCAUGUGGACGAUCAGCGUGCACGCGAUCGGACGGCCCAGAUGCAAGCGCACGGACGGCCCAGAUGCACGCGCACGGACGGCCCAGAUUCAAUCAAGUACGGACGGUCCAGAUUUAAUCGCGAUGGACGGCCCAGAUUUAAUCUAAAUUAAAUCGCGAUCGAACGAUGUAGAUUAAAUCAAGAUGGACGGCUGUGAUUAAAAGGCAAAUGGUAUAAAUAAACCCCCCACACCUGACCACAGAAACCCUAGCCGCUAGCCCUCGCCGGAGAAGACGAGCCAGACGCCGGAGGAGCCGGCUGCCGCCACCCGCUGCCGCACUGGGGAGUUUUUUGACCGCCAAUCGAGGUAAAUUUCAUACCCCCGGCUCGUUUUUCAAUGCUGAGUUCCCUUGUGGUCAAAUCGGAGUCAAACUCCCGGCCAAACGGUCGAAAAAUACGACCGAAACCCAGCGGCGCCGCUGCGCACCUCCUCGAUUUUUGCCUCCGAUGAGGCCCUUCCCGGCCUCCGUUUGAUACAAUUUUUAUAUCACCGUGAUCACCAUUCUUUUCUCUACAGGUUGAUCGGAGCCAAAUCACCAAAACACGAACCACACCGGAGAGCCUCCGCACCCAAGAGUACUGCCGCCGGUAAGCUUCGGUUUUUCGUAAUUUUUUGGCCCCCCGAGGGCCCUAGGGUUGUUUUAUCGCAGGGACCGAUGUAAGUGUGGCCGAAUUCGGCCAAAAACGGCCAACCCGAGGCGAAUCGCCGAUGCAAGCGGCGGCGCCGUCACCGGAGCACGGCGGACCCACCGUGCUAGAAUUGCAAUAUUGGCCGAAAGGGGCCCUAGGUCUGAUUCUGAGAUUUUUGGGACACGUGCAAGUACCGGUAGCGUGUUUCAUUUUUUCGAAAAAAAAUUCAUGAAAUUUAGGGAUAACCCGCAGGCGCUCGGAAAAGCCUAUUUCAGGUCCCGAAAACAAGUAAGGAUUCCUCACCCUAUUUUCUAUCACGGUAUUAAAGUGCAAUAAAUGAUAAAAUGCUAUUUCAUGAAUCAAUAGCUGUGUGAAAUUGUUUAAGGUUGCUAAUGGAGCCCGAGUCUAGUGUAUUUGUCGGUUAGUUGUUGUUUGUUCUAUUUUACAAUUUUAAAUGCAGUAUGAUGUCUGAUAUUUUUAUUUCAUAGUUUCGUGUGCAUGUAUCACAGUUUCAUUGAUUAUGGACUGAAUGACUGAGAACCCGAUGUUGUGUGUUGUCUUGUUGGCGUGAACUACCGGUUUGAAUAUUUGUGUGUGACUUGAUGAUGGUGACUAAAGAAAAAGGGAUAAAAGGUUAUGUGAAUUGGCAAACGGAUAAUGUGGACAGCCUGAGUAGGUAUCCUGAGAGAUGGUGGACGGACCGGGUCCGUAGGGAACCCUACCGGGAACGUGGUCUCUCAUACCGGACGGGGUAUGGAGACCUUAUGUGUUUUGGCGCCCAUACCGGACGGGGUAUGAGGACGACCCGUUUCACCCUCAUACCGGACGGGGUAUUGAGGUUCAUGGUUUUGGCGUCCAUACCGGACGGGGUAUGGGGACGGCCCUGGAAUCAGGUUAUAAAUGUUAAGGAUUCACGGGUAGCGGGACCCCUAUGGAUCCCCAUGGAUACUAGUAGGCUGGUAAAGAGGAAUUAUGCUGUUUAAAGAUUGAAAUGCAAACGCGUGAUAAAUGUUGUAUUAUAAAGUCUAUGUGAUAACGUGAUGAUGAUAAUGUGUUGCUUGUGUAUUAUUUUAUGGAUCUCAUCCAGGUAAAUGGAAAGUAAACGUUUUUAUGAACAAAUGGAUUUAUUACAAAUUAUGCUCAAUUGGUCGUUUUUAUUUUCUACCCACCCUUACUCCUGUGGCAGUGAGGUAGAGUGAUGUCUUUACUGGGCUAGUGUAGCUCACUCGUUACUUAACUAUUUCAGAUCAGGAAUAUGUGGUUCCCGAGCCCGUUCCGCAGGAAGACGGCGAAGGGGACGCCUAAAGAUCCCAUAGUUAUAAUUGUAGUUCUUACUUUCGAGCAUUUAUUUUAAUUAGUUUAUUCCCUCAUUUGUUGAACACGUUUUGGUAUUGCGUAAGGAAUGUUAAUUGUAAUGUUUAAUACACUUCCGCAAAUUCAGAUUAUUUAUCUAUAUAUAUGCCUUUCCAAUAUUAAAUUUUUCCUGGGCCGUUACAGAAUAUAAGCAAACAAGAGUUAGAGAUAAAUGGCUCCACUCUUCUUUCAUUUGAUUUUUAAAAUUAUUUUGGUAUUUGAAAGUUUCCUCUGCCUGGUCCCUUGAUGUAACUUAAUUUGACUAUUUUUUUGUUUUUUCGAUUUAUACAUGAACGUCACAAGCAUUUAUUACAUAUUCUAGCUAUGAUAAAAAUAUUAGCAUGCAAAAUUGUUUUAAAUGACUAGUGUAUACCCAUAAAACUAUUGAUGCUUUAUGUCCUUUAUAGCAUGACACUUCCCUAAUUUUAAACUCCCAUUUCUGACUUCUGUUAGUUUUUGUGUCCACUUAUGUCUCUAAUGGGUGUGAGUUUUUCCCUAAGCUUUAAGAAUAUUUUUAUAUUAUUUUGAUAAUAUCAAAAUUGUGAUAACUCUAAUAUAAAUAGAUAUUAUAUUUAGUUAUAACAUUUCGACUAACGAAUAUUUUAUAUAAAAUUUGAAGUAUUUAUGAUGAGUCAGUCUUGGCAAAUAACACAAUUUAUAUCAGACUUUUAUAAUUUUCAUGAGCGAAAGAUUGUAUUUCAAGAGUGUAUCUUUUCCAAAAUUAUGAUUUGAUUUUUGAAAGAAGAGUCAUCCUCCUAACGUCAAUUAGCCUUCGAGGAAAGAGCCUUUUCUAAUGGAUGCAUUUGUCUCAAUUGGUCAUCCAUUUAGAUUGAGGGUAAGAAGAGUGAGCAAGAACCAUGUUGGUUUUAAUUAAUUUUUAUUUUUAAUUCAGAAAAGGACUGAAUAAAAACUCAAGGUGACAGAAUUGGAGAAGAGAAUGUAUACGAUGCAGUGUAUAAAUAAUUAGAGACGUGGCAUGGGUUUAAUAAAAAAAGUUAGAAGAAAAAGUAAUUUUCUGUACAAAAAAGUAUAAUCAGCUGGCACAUGAAAUGAAAGACCAAGACUUGGGUUUAUCAUUUGUCAAAAUCAAAAAUUCCAAGGCCAAUUUGACUGAUAACUUCAAGACCAAAGUUGCUGUAAUUGAUCUUGUCCAUUUCCAGCUCUAAUGAAAAGCUCGUACCAAAACUCAUCCAAACCUGAAACUGAUGAAUCCAGGCCAUAAUAAGAAUAGUCUUGUUCUAAUUCAUUGCUGAUCUCUGAAAAAUCUGACCAGAAACUUUGAUCAAUUUCUGGGAAAAUAUCCUCCAUGUUAUUUGUAAUUUCAGAAGAAGAAGCUUGUGGAGAAAGUGGGAGAGAUGAGGUGGGAGUUUCUGACGAUUUUGAUGUUAGAGAAGAAGGUUCAUUUUUUAUUUGUGAAAUAAUUGUGUUUGGUUUUUGUUUGAGCCUUUUCUUCAAGUGGGUAUGCCACACAUUCUUUAUCUCAUUGUCUGUCCUCCCUGGUAAUUUUGCUGCAAUUGCUGACCACCUAUAUAUAUAAUUAAAAAGAAAUAUUUCUGAUAAGAUAUUGGUAACUUAAUUAUGUGUGUGUGUGUAUACAUACAUAUAUAUAUAUAUAUAUAUAUGUUAAAGAGUACAGAGUAUUCAUGAGUGAAACAAUUAUAUUGGUCUAAGCAUUACCUAUUUCCCAGAAUCUGAUGCAAGUUGAUGAUGGUUUCCUCUUCUUCCGGCGUGAAGUUGCCUCGUUUAAUAUCGGGACGUAAGUAGUUAAUCCACCGUAGUCUGCAGCUUUUUCCACAUCUCAACAAACCUACACGAUCACAAUCGAACGCGAAUUCAUAUCCUAGUUCGGAUAAUAUAUAACUUUUGUUGAAGAUUCUGAGUUCGAAUUUUAUAAAUCAAUUACCGGCUAACUUAGGUAGAGCCCGCCAAUUAGCAUGGCCGUAUUUACGAAUGUAGUUGGUCAAGAUUUGAUCUUCUUCUGGCGUCCAUGGCCCUUUCUUCAAUCCCAUUUUCUCACAGCAAGGAGCUCUGCCCAUGAUUAAUGAUCCACAAGCUACAAUUUCUCUACUCCUCAACUGAAAAAAGUUGAAGGCAAAGACUGAUAUUUAUAGAGGAAGAGACCUUGAAAAGUCCAAGCCCACCACUUUGCUCUUUCCACGAACUCCCAAUUCAGAUAUAAAUACAUAUAUAUAUAUAUAUAUAUAGCUACUUUUAUGAUGAGAAGAAAUUAUUAUUUAUUGAUUUGAGAAAGAAGAAGACAAAGAAAGUAAGUUGGUCAAGAGUAAGGGUCAAGUUUAAAAUUUGAAUCAAGUAGAAUCUUUUUGUUUAAUAUAAUGUGGGCUAGGUAAUUAAAGCACAUGAGGGAUUAAAUCUCAAAUUUAAUUAUAUAUUCGCUUAGACAUAUAAAGUCUUAUACGUUGUCGUUUCUUUCUGUCUUUCUAUCUUUUAUUUUUCCACUUCAUAAUUAUUUCCAUUUUUCAUAAUAAAUAAUUAAUGGUAAGCAGAGUGAGUAAUUUCCAGGAAUUGCAUACGCAAACCCCACCACAUGAUCAACUACUUACUAUUCAUAAACAAACACUCGUGGGUUUGAUUAUUUUAAGCAUAUCAACUUGCAAAUCAUUAAAAACAUAUAUAUAUAUAAAUAUGUAUGUAUAUAUCAUAUGACCUCCAUGGGUAUAUAUUCUUCCUAAUACAAACUUACAAGUCAUGAAUAGUAUUGAUCGCAUCUUGAAUAAUGCAGCAGCACAUGCAUAAAGAUCAAAUUGCUGCAAAAUUCUUUUUCUCUAUAUAUUACAUUAUUAUACAUUCACAAUAAUAAUAUUAUAAUUCACAAGAAAUAUUUAACGUAAUUAAAUUUAAAAUAUUAAAUAAAAUUGCACUUUGUUUCAACUUAUCCUUUGGCGGGUAGUAAUUUUCACCUUAAUAGAGGUGAAUAAGCAAUACCAGUUUAAGUAGUGAUUUAAAAAAAAAAAAACAAAUUAAUAAUUUAUAUGUUUUUGUGGUGCUUAUAUACAAUUCAUAAUACUGCUAUAAACAUCAAAUUCAUUUUCCUUAGCACUAUUUUCUUCGUUGAUUUAUAAUAUUGAUUAUUAUUGUUGAUUUAUAAUAUUGAUUAUUAUUGUCUAUGUUAUAGUUAUUAUUAUUAUUAUUAUUAUUAUUAUUACUACUAUUUUUAUAGAAACUCAGAACUAAAAUAAAAAUAAAUUCAUAAAUUAAAUGCAGAAAUAAUUAAUAAAGUUAGAAUUUAUAUUUCUUACACAAUUAUUUUAAAUACCCAAUAGAGAUAUGAAUAUGUUUCUUCUAAAAAACAAACGGUAAUUAAAAAAAUAAAACGAAAAGCGAAUAACUAAACAUCUUAAAACAACAUUCACUAGUACUAGAAAAGAGUUCGGAUAGUGAAUCUUGCUGAUCGAGAUCUAAAUCUUGAUUUUCUUGAUCUAAAAUAAUUAAUGAAAGUGUGAACUACACUAAUCCAGUAAGAAUAUCACAUUAAUCACAGAUACGGAAAAUUAAAGAUUGGUAAAAAAUCAGAAAAAUAACAAAUGGAGCCCUUACUUUAUUUAAAUAUAUUUAAACUUAAACAUGUUUUUUUAAUACUUACCAUAACGAGUUUUUCAAAAACAACCUAUAAAGACUCCAUAUCCAUACCACUUUUCAUUUUCAUGCAUAAGAGAAUAAAAAGCAAUAGCUUUCUUUUCUUACUUACUUAUUGGUACCCUUGCGGAUCUAUGGGAAUGUCCCUCUUAUUCGUGAACCCAAUAUUCAAUUUACAAUUAACAAGCCGUCUCCAUAUCCUGUCUGGUAAUGGUCGCCAAAUAUUUCAUCACCUCGAUACUCCUUCCGAUAUGAGGGUGAAUUAUAUCUUCAAAACCUUUUCGAUAAGGGACUUUCCAGCCCCGCCCAACUGAGAUAACGUUCACAGUAGGGUUUCUUAUGUAUUAGGCUCGUCCACCAUUUCCCUGGGUAACUAACAACUCUUUCACAUAUAUAUUUUCAUCAACAAAUAAUCAAUAAAUGCAUUCCAAUAUCUCAUAUCACAUUCACAUAUAAAUUAAACGACAUUUAUGCAAAUGAUAUGAUUUAUUGUAACUGAAUAAACUAGAUAAAUCGAAAAAAUUAUUGAACUAUAAAUUAAGAACAUGUACUAUACGAAAAUAAAAUAAACAGGACAGUACAGAGAAAUAAACAGAAAAUCUAGAUAAUUGUGAACUGAUCGAUUUCGCCUCCACUAGUAACCUAUAAUUAUUUUUAGGAUUUUUAAAUUUUUCAUAAAACUACAAAAUUAUACAUCGUUAAGCCUCAAUUUACUAUAACGGAGAAUAGGGUGAGAGAUCCUAUCCGGAUUGGUGUUUUGAGACAUCGAGUUGUCUAUUACCUCUUAACAGGUACUGGGUUCCCUGAAUUUUUCAUGUGGAAUUCAAAACACUCAUCACGUAUCUAAAAAUACCCCAAAAAUCUAAAAUCGGUAUCCAAAACCCGUUCCAGCAAAUUUUGAGGUUCUGAUAUAGUGCCGGCUCCGUCGGCCAUGGUGGUGAUUUACUUCGAUCUGGCUAAGUUUGGCUAGUUUUGACUGUAUUCCUGCAGAAAAAUAUGUUAGAGGGUCUCAGUUGGCUAGAAAAUCACAAAAAUCGAACCUGCAGGCGGGGGGACCUCCGGGUGUUGCGGCUUUGCUUGUCUUCCUUCGCGGUUAAGAUUUUUUCUUCGGCUAACCCGCACAAAAAAAGACGAUGGAUACAAUGAUAAAAAAAUCAGGUGAAACGGGAAUCGGGAAGGGGCUCAUCAGAAAGAUUUUGGGAUUUUGGAUGUGGCAGCUUCGUCGGGCUUUGCCCGCAAUCUUCGCCUCACCUACUAUUUCUCUUGCUCUGAUUUGAACACAGGGGUGCUCAGAUUUAGGGUAGGGAGAAUUUUUACCUUUUUGGCGGUUGGUGGUGGCUCCAGUGCAACGAAGGUCGGUGGUCGGCCUCCUUCUCCGGCAUCUGGAUCUUCUUCUCUAGUGGGGGCUGACAGCUAGGGUUCAGGUUCUUGUGUAAUGUAAAGUAUUUAUACUCAUCUCGCCUUAAUCUGGACCGUCCAUCGUGAUCGAUCUCAUCCGUCCGAUCUCACUUAAGGAGAAAAUAAAUAUGCGUCAUUCAUCGUGAUUGAUCUUGGCCGUCCAAUCGCACUUAAGUGAGAAACAAAUUCGGACCAUCCAUGUACGCAGGACCGAUCAUGACUAGGUGUGCAAACUCUAUUUCUUUCAAAUGUUGGAGGUGCUAUAGAAGGUACUCUACAUUGAAGGCUAUUAAGAACUGUUCCCAAGUGACUGGAACGGGUAUGGUGGCUUGCUUGAGCUGCUACCAGCGGUUUGCCUCUCCCACAAGCAUAUACGUGGCAAGUACAACCUUCAGUUUGGGAACUACCCGAAGAGUCGUGAAUGUCUUCUCUGUCUCAGCUAUUUAAUACUCGGCUUCUUUAGAAGAGGAUGUCCUCUAAAGAUAGAUAGGUUUAAUUUUUUGUACCUUUCAAUGUACUCUGGGUUUAUUAUUGGUGGAACUGGAUUUCGUGGAAGAGGAACUAUAUAAUUCUGGGGAGGGACAGGGUGGCCCUGUGGUGAUGCUGGAUGAUAUGGUGAAGGCACUGGGUUGUACUGUCGUAGUUUUAAAUGAUACAAUGGAGGCAUCAGAUUGUAUUGUGGUGGUGUCGGAUGGCACGGCAAAUGAGUAGGGUUGUACCAGGGUAGCUUCAUAUUAUUUCGCUGUAAGAGUGGCUCAAAUUGUGGCAGCAGAGGAGGGUCAGACAACUCCCUCCUUUCCUCCCGGGCCUGCUGGGUAGAGAUGAGUCUCUUCAGCAUCUAAAAGAGUCAGUCAAUGUCCUCUCGAAGUGAGCCACCCCGGGCUGCUCGAUUUAGUGGAGAUCUUUCUCUCUUCAUUUUCUUGUACCUUCAUGUCACAAGGAAAGAUUAAACGAUAGUUUAUAUUUGGUGUUUUUAAGUCUUUGUAUAAGGAAUAAUUCCAAGAAACACGGCUCUUAUACCAAUUGUAGAAGUCUGGAACUAAAAUGAAAAUAAAUUUAUCAAUUAAAUACAGAAAUGAUUAAUAUAGUUAGAGUUUACAUUCCUUAUAUAAUUAUUUUAACUGCCCAAUAGUGCUACGAGAGUGUCUAUUCUAAAAGACAAAAUAGUAAUUAAAGAAAUAAAAUAAAAAACAAAUAACUAAGUAUCCUAAGAUAACAUUCACUAGCACUUGAAGGGAGUUCGGAUAGUGAACUACUCACAACCCUUUUGCUGAUCGGGAUCUUGAUCUUGAUCUUGAUCUUGAUCCUCUUAAUCUAAAAUAGUUAAUGAAAGGGUGAGGUACACUAAUCUAGCAAGAAUAACACACUAAUCAUAGAUAUUAAAAACUAAAGAUCGGUAAAAAAUUAGAAAAAUAACUAAUGGAGUUCUUACUUUAUUUAAAUACAUUUAAACUUGAAGAAGUUUGUUUAAUACUUAACAUAACGAAUUUGUAAAGACCCAGAACUUAAAAGGAAAUAAAGUAAUGAAUUAAAUGCAUAAGUGAAACAAUAGAGUUUAGAGUUUAUAUUCUUUACACAAUAAUUUAGAAUGUUCAAUAGGGUCACGGGCAUGACCUUUUCAAAAGAACAAACAAAAUUAAGGAAAUAAAUAAAAGACAAUAUGUUGAGCAUUCUAGGACGACCUUCACUAGUUUUUGAAGGGAGUUCGAGUAAUGAACUAUUCACAAUCCUCUUGUUGCUCGGUAUCUGGGUCUUGGUCCUCUUGAUCUGAAAUAAUUAAUGAAAUGGUGAGUUACACUAACCUAGUAAGAAUAUCACACUAUUCACCGAUACAGAAAUUGAAGAUUAGUAAAAAUUAUAAAAACAAUCAAUGAAGCUUUUGAUUUAAGUAAAUUCAUUUAUCAUAAAGAAAAUAAUUUAUUGCAUAUAUUUACUGUUGUGAGAGUUUUAAAAUCGACGUAUAGAGAAAAUAAUUAAAAUAAUAUUCCACUCUCAUAUUCAAGUGAGCAAGAACAAAAUUUUUUUCAUUUUAUUUCCCUUCUGAUAUCCCUGAGAGCACGUAGGGAUGUCUCACUACGCGUGAACUAAUAUUUAACUUUGUCAACUAACCGACUGUCCUCAUAACCCGUCCGAUAUGAGUGCCAAAAAUAUCAUAUCUUAAUAUCCUGUCUGGUAUGAGGGUUAAACGGGUCGUUCCCAUACCCUGUCCGGUAUAAGCGUCAAAAAUACCAAUUCUCGAUAUCUCGUCUAGUAUGAGGCAACGUCCACGGUGGGAUUCUCUAUGUACCUUGUCCGUCCACCAUCUCUCAGGAUAUCUAGUAAGGCUACUAUUCAUAAUUCACAUGACCAAUCAAUUUUUCGUUUCAUAUUAAUUACCAAUUUCACAAAUCAACUGUAAAUCACGCAAGACAAAAAAAAAUAUAUAUAUAUCAAGGAAGCAUAAAUGAAUCAAUUAAUCAUUUCAGUAUAUAAUCAUGUAUUUAAAGCUGUAAAUUCAACAAUAAGUUAAAUAGGAUAAAAAAUAAAUAACUAACCGAUUUUCGACUCCAUUUGUUCAUGGGAGUGCUCGGAAUCAAAUUCUGAGUGGAUAUGAGAAUUUUUGCCUUUUUUGGCGGUCGAAGGCAGCUCCAGCGCGGCAGCAAGCGGUGGUCGGCUCCCUUUUUCGGCGACUGGUUCUUCUUCUCCAGCGGGAGGCUGGUAGCUAGGGUUUAGGUUUAGUGUGAUACAAGAUAUUUAUACCUGUCCUCCUUAAAUCUGGGCCGUUCAUCGCGUUUUAUCUCAUCGUUUGAUCGUGUUUAAAGAAAAAAUAAAUAUGGACCGUUUAUCGCGAUUUGAUUUCGACCGUCCAAUCACAUUUAAAGAGGGAAUGAAACUAGACCGUUCAUCGUAUUUAGUCACGAUUGUCCGAUCGCGCCUGAGGAGAGAAAUGAUUCAGACUGUCCAUGUGCACAGGAACGUUUUCGGGCUGUCUGAUUGCGGGCACGUAGAUUGCCAGUGUGACCUCCCGCGUGGUACCGAGUCAGUGUGCCUUACAACGCGGCGCGCUCCUAUUCGUUGGGGGUUGCUAACUAGGUGGUCCUAUUUGGCGCAAUUUUUUUCAUUGCAUUUUGACCUAUAAUUUUUUAUUUUUCUUUCAAAAACACCAUACGAACCCAAAUUUUCAGCUAUUUUUCCUAAAAUUAUUUUUAAUUUCAUUCUCAACCUAUUUUUUUCAGUAAUUUCACAUUAAAUAAAAAUUUAUUAAUUUCAAAAUUAUAUUUUUAUACAUUUUUAAAAUUUUAAAUUUAAUCCAGGGUCAAGUUCUGGAUCUGGGUAUUACAACUCUCCCCCCUUAAAAGAAAUUUGAUCCCUCAAAUUUAUUUCUCUCACACUCAAUCAAACAAUUGGGGAUACUGAGAUCUGAAAUCUGAUUCUAGCUCCUAUGUUGCCUCUCUCUGGGUGUGAUUAUGCUAUAAGACCUUAACAAAGGAAAUUUUUCAAUUGCAGAGUACUUUGCUAUUUCGGUUCACAAUACCCACUGAAACCUCCUCACAUGACAGAUCCUAAUGAAGUGAAAGGGGCUCGUGGACUAAGAUAUGAGAGGGGUCUGAGUUGUACUUGCAUAGUAUGGACACGUAAAACAUAUUAUAGAUCUUAGAUAGUUCUAGAGGUAGUGCCAGGCUGGGAGGCGACGGUACCAAUUCUAUCUAAGAUUUUAAAUAUUCUAAUAAACCGGGGAUUUAGUUUCCCCCUCUUGCCAAACCUACUGAUUCUAUUGAAAUGAGUGACCUUAAGGAACACUCGAUCACCUUUCUCAAAUUCCAAAUUUCUCAUCCUGGUGUCUGCAUAACUCUUCUGCCCGCUCUGAGUUGGUUGGAUGUUCUUCAUGAUCUUAACUAUUUUGGUUGUAGUCUCCUUCACAAGAUCUGAGCCGAAUAAUUUCUUAGCACCUACAACUUCCCAACAGAUCUGCGAUCUAUAUGGGCGGCCAGAUAACGCAUCGUACGGAGCUAUGCGAUUAUUGCUUGGUAGCUGUUAUUGUAGGUGAACUCUAUUAAGGGUAAACAAUCAUCCCAAUGGCCCCCGAAGUUAAGAACACAAGCUUGGAGCAUAUCAUCGAGUGUGCGGAUCAUCUUUUUUGAUUGUCCAUCGGUUUGAGGGUGGAAUGCGGUACUAAGAGGCAGUUUCGUUCUCAUGACUUACUGAAAACUAGACUAUAACCGAGAAGUGAACCUGGGGUCCAUUUCGGAUACUACUGUCACUAGCACUCCAUGUAACCUAACUAUCUCCCAAAUAUAAAUUCUUGCUAGCUUGUUAGAGGGGUCGGUCAUCUUGAUGGCCAAGAAGUGGUAAGACUUAAUGAGUCGGUCAAUAAUUUCCCAAAUGAUAUCAUGUCCUGAGCGUGCCCUAGGCAAUCCUGUCACAAAAUUCAUUGUGAUGUGUUCCCACUUUAUAUCAAGAAUCAGUAAUUGCUGAAGUAGCCCGCCUGAGCGUUAAUGCUCUGUCUUGACUUACUGACACGCCAGAUACUUGAAAAUAAAGUCGACCACCUCUCUUUUCAUCCCGUUCUACCAAAAUCGGGGUCGCAUAUUUUGAUACACAUUAGUGCUUCUGGGAUGCAUGACAAACUUUGAGCUAUGAACUUCUGUCAUGAUGUCCCUUUUUAGCUCACUAUCAUAUGAAACAAGCAUCCUAUCCUGAAAUAUGAGCAAUCCAUCGACAGAGACUUGAAAUUCUGAAUUUACUCCCUAUUCUCUUUUUUUAGGGCUACUAGGGUGGAAUCGGCGGAUUGAGCUUCCUUUAUUCUCUAGAUUAACUCAGGUCGAACAGUUAGGUGGGCCAAACAUAUAACUCUUUUCAGGUCCUAAAGUCGUACCUGUUGUGCGACCGUUAUUACUUUACAUUCUGAAAUCAUUAGGUGAGCUAAUAUACCUGCACUUUUUCUGUUGAGUGCGUCGGCCACUAUGUUGCCCUUGCCAGGGUGAUACAAAAUGUUGUAGUUGUAGUCCUUGAAUAGUUCUAUCAAUUAUUUCUGACGCAUGCUGAGAUCCUUUUGAGUUAAUAUGUGUUUUAAGUUUUUAUAGUCGGUAUAUAUAUGAAAAUUCUCCCCAUAGAAGUAAUGGCACCAAAUUUUUAACUCGUGGAUAAUCGCGGCAAGUUCUAAGUUAUGGGUGGGGUAGUUUUUCUCAUGACUUUUCAAUUGCUUAGACCCAUAUACUAUGAUCUUCCCAUGCUACAUCAGAACACAAUCCAACCCCAGGUAGGAGACAUCACUAUAAAUUGUAUAUCCACCUGUCCCGCUCGGCAAGGCUAACAUAGGUGCAGUAGUCAACCGCUUAUUUACUUCUGAAAAGCUCCUUUCAUAAUUUUUAUUCCGCUCAAACUAAACGUUCUUCUUUGUGAGCCGAGUCAAAUGAGUAGCUAGGCUAGAAAAUCCUUCCACAAACCUGCAAUAAUAACCUAUCAUCCCCAGAAAGCUACGAAUCUCCUUCAUCGAGAUUAAUUUCUCCCAACCGAACACUGUCUUAACUUUUUCGGGGUUCACUAACACUCUAUCCCUUAAUAUGAUGUGCUCUAAGAAGGUAGUCUGCUCGAGCCAGAACCCACACUUACUCAAUUUUGCAUACAACUUCUUUUCUCUAAGAACCUGCAAAACUUGAGUUAGAUGGUGAGCGUAUUCCUCUCUACUUUUUGAAUAGAACAGGACAUUACUGAUAAAUACAAUGAUGAACUAAUGCAGAAAUUGUCUGAAAAUCUUUUUCAUCAAAUCCAUGAAGAUGGCUAGUGCAUUGGUUAGUCCAAAUGACAUGAUCAGGAACUCAUAGUGUCCGUACUUGGUUCAAAAAGCUAUUUUGGGAAUGUCUUUUGCCUUGAUCUUUAUUUGAUGGUAACUUAAAUGUAAUUCUAUUUUGAAGAAGACCUAGGCACCCUGUAACUGAUCAAAAAGGUAAUUGAUCUUGGGGAGAGGGUACUUGUUCUUAAUCGUGACACUAUUCAGUCCACUGUAGUUAAUACAUAACCUUAACAUCCCAUCCCCUUUCCUUACAAAUGUGACUCCAGCACCCCAAGGAGAAACAUUGUGUUGGAUGAACCCACUAUCUUACAAUUUCUUGAUCUAUUUCCUCAACUCUUUCAUACCAACAUGACUCAUGCUGUAAGAAAAAAUUAAAAUAGGUUGCGUUCCAUGCUGAAGGUCUAUGGUGAAUUCAACUUCUCUGUCUAUUGAUAGUCUAGAAAGUUCAUCAUGAAACACAUUAAGAAAGUUUUGGACUAGCGGGAUCUCUUGAAUACAAAUUUCUUUCUUAGAUUCGUCUAAUUUAGAUAAAACAACCGAGUUAAAGUGCUAUGUAAUAAGAAAAUUGCUAUGAGGGAGUAAUAUUCAAAACUUUUAUUAGUUUGUAAAUGACUCUUCGUUAGGAGGCUUAACUAUAAUUUUUCUCGUUAAAACAACCCAUGGUGGCGUGGUACAUUGCUAACCAGAUCAUUCUUGAAAAUACAUCAAGGUCUCCCAUGUCAAUCUUUAUCAGGUCCAUCAUGGGUGAAACCGUGUCCUGUAGAGUAGGGGCCAGAUUUUGCUCGGGAGGGACCAAGUGGCCUUGUAAUGGUGCUGAAUGAUACGGUAGGGGCUUUGAAUUGUAUUGUGGCGGUGUCGGAUGAUGUAACGGAGGAGCAGGGUUACAUUGAGGUGGCGUUAGAUCCUCUCGUUGUAGAGGUGGCUCAUAAUGUGGAAGUGGUGGAUGGUCAAACAGUUUCCUCUUCUAUUCUCUAGCCUACUGGGCAUAGAUGAUCUCUCUAAAAUCUUGAAGAGUCGAUUGACAUCCUCAUCGAAGCGGUUCGUUUCAGGCUACCCUAUUUGAUAAGGGACCUCAUCUUCUCGUGUCUUUGAACUUUAUGUUUUAUAAGGAAUGGUUGAGUGGUAAUUCGUAUUUGGUAUUUUUAAGUUUUUGUGUAAGAAAUGGUUCUGAGUAACGCGGUUCUGAUAGCAACUGUAAAGACUCAGAAUUUAAAAGAAAAUAAAGUUAUGAAUUAAAUGUGGAAGCCAAAAUAUAGAGUUUAGGGUUUACAUUCAUUAGACAAUAAUUUAGAAUACUCAAUAGGGGUACGAGAAUGAUCAUUCUAAAAGAACAAAUAAAAUCAAAGAAAUAAAUAAAAGGCAAUAUGCUGAGCAUUAUAGGACAACCUUCACUAGCUUUUGAAAGGAGUCUGGGUGGUGAACUAUUCACAAUCCUCUUAUUGAUCAAGAUCUGAGUCUUGUCUUCUUGAUCUGAAAUAGUUAAUGAAAGGAUGAGCUACACUAGUCAUAAGAAUAUCACACUAUUUACUGAUACAGAAACUGAAGGUUGUUAAAAAUCAUAAAAACGACCAAUGGAGCUCUUGAUUUAAAUAAAUUCAUUUUAUCAUAAAGAAAAUAAUUUAUUGCAUAUAUUUACUAUUGUGAUAUUUCUAAAAUCGACUUUUAGAGAUAAUAACCCAAAUAACAUUCCAAUAUCAUAUUCAAGUGAGCAAGAAUAAUAACUUUUUUUUUUAUUUGCCUACUAAUAUCUCUCGGGGCCUAUAGGGAUAUCCUAUUACGCGUGAAUCAAUACUCAACAUUGUCAACUAACUGGUCGUCCCCAUACCCCGUACGGUAUGAGCACAAAAAAUAUCAUCUUUCAAUAUCCCGUAUGGUAUAAAGGUGAAACGGUCAUCCCCACAUCCCAUUCGGUAUGAGAUAACGUCCACGGUAGGGUUCUCUAUAUACCCGAUCCGUCCACCAUCUUAUAAGAUAUUCAGUAAGGCUACCAUUCAUUAAUUUACAUGACCAAUCAAUUUUUUGUUUGCAUAUUUAUUACUAAUUUCACAAAUCAACCUUAAAUCACGCAAGACAAGCAAUAUAUAUAUCAAGAAAGAACAAUUGAAUCAAUUAAUCAUUUCAGUAUAUCAUCAUAUAUUUAAAGCUGUAAAUUCAAUAAUCAGUUAAACAUGACAAUAAAUAAAUGACUAACUAGUUUUCGACUCCAUUAAUAACCUGUAAUUAUUCUCAAAGUUUUCUAGAUUAUAUAAAAUACCAUAUUACCGAUUAUUAAGCUUCAAUUUUAUAACAGGGAAUGAGAUGAUAGAUUUUUACCCGAAUUGGUGUCUAAAAUACUAAACUUUCAGCUGUUUCUACUGGUGGUCCAUGAUUUUUUUGAAUUUUCAUAUGGAGAUUAAAACACAAUUCACGUACCUAAAAAUACCCUAAAAAUAUAAAAUCAAUAUUAAAAAUCUUUUUCGACCAAUUUCGAAAUUUUGACAAGGCGGCACCACCAUGGUUCGACGAUGGCACUGUCGCCCGUAGCGGUGGUUUGCCUCAGCUUUGCCGUUCUCAACUAGUUUUAGCCGAUUUCAUCCAAUUUUAUACAAGAAAACACAUUUGGGGGUCUCGGUUGGCCGAAAAAAGUAAAAAAGCAAAAACCUACUGGUGACAGAAUUUUUAGUGCGGUGGCUCUACCGGCUCAUCUUCACGACUGGGUGUUUUUCUUCGGUCAACCUAUAGAAAAAAGAAUAGUAAACACAAUGGUAAAAAAAUCACACGAAACGGAAAAUGGGGAGGGGUUCAUCGGAGGUGGUUUUGGGUUUUUUCUACCGCAGUGCCGCCAGGUUUUGCUUGCAGUUUUCGUCUCAUCUGCCUUUUCUUUUGAUCUGAUUUGACCAUGGGAGUGCUCAGAAUCAAAAUUUGAGCAGAUAAGAAAUUUUUUUUUCUUUUUUGGCUGUUGAAGGUGGCUCCGGCGCGGCGGCGGGCGGCGGUCUGCUCCCUUCUCUAACGACUGAUUCUUCUUCUCCGACGGGAGGCUAGUGGCUAGGGUUUGGGUUCGGUGUGAUGUGAGAUAUUUAUACCCGUCUCCUUUAAAUUUGGAUCGUUCAUUGUGUUUGAUUCGACCUUCCAAUCGUAUUUAAAGAGGAGACAAAUCUGAACCGUUCAUCGUGUUUAAUCUCUAUCGUCCGAUCUCGCCUGAGGAGAGAACGGAUCCUAACCGUCCACGCGCGCAGGAAUGCUUCCGCACUGUCUGAUCGCAGGCACACAGAUUGUUAACGUGGCCUCCCGUGUGGCACCGAGUCAGUGUGCCUUGCCACGUGGCGAGCUCUUGUUGGUCGGGGUUAUUGACUGAGCGGUCCUACGUGGUGCCAUUUUCUUUAAUUGUAUUUUGACCUCCAAUUUCUGAUUUUUCUUUCAAAAACUCCAUCCGAACCCAAAUUUUCACCUUUUUUUCCAAAAUUAUUUUUAAUUUCAUCAUCAACCCAUUUUUUUUCCUAAUUUUACAUUAAAUAAAAAUUUAUUAAUUUUAAAAUUAUAUUUUUAUACAUUUUUAAAAUUUUAAAAUUAAUCCUGGGCCAAAUUCUGGACCCAGGUAUUACAGAAUUUUUCAAAGACAACCUAUGAAGACCCAUAUCCAUAACACUUUUCACUUUUACGCAUAAGAAAAAAAGAAAUAAUAGUUUUAUUUUAUUACUUGCUUAUUGUUAACCAUUGGGGUAUAUAGGGAUGUCUCCCCUACUUGUGAAUCUAAUAUCCAAUUUACAAUUAACUAGCCGUCCCCAUACCCAAUCCAGUAAUGAGCACCAAAUAUUUCAUCGCUUCGAUACCCCAUCCGCUAUAAGAGUGAACCAUAUCUCUCAAACUUUUUCGAUAAGGGACUUUCCAGCUUCGUUAGACUGAGAUAACGUUCACGGUAAGGUUCUUUAUGUAGUGGGCUCGUCCACCCUUUCCCUGGGUAACCAACAAGUCUUUCACAUAGAGAUUUUCAUUAACAAACAAUCAAUAAACGCAUACCAAUAUCUUAUAUGUAAGGACUAGAAGGUAGAAAGAAUAGAAAAAAUAAAAAAAAAAAAAAAAAAUAAUAAUAAUAAUAAUAAUAAUAAUAAAAACGACGUCGUUUUAGAGAAGGGAAAAACGACGUCGUUUUGAAAGAAAGAAAAACGACGUCGUUUUGGGAUGUAGGAAAACGAUGUCGUUUUGGGGUAGGCUGGCAGAGUAUAAAAGGAGGUCGGAAAAGGGAGAAAGGGAAAAAGAAAAAAAAAAAAGAAAGAAAAGGAAAAAGAGAAAAAGAGAAAAGGAGGGAAGGAGGAGAGCGGAGACGAAGAAGAAGAGGAAAGUUCCAGAAGGAGAGAGGAGAGAGUCGGGGCGGAGGGGAGCGAGAAGGGAGAGGGAAGGAGGCCGUGGACGGACGACGCGACCGGCAGGAAGAAGGAGGAUGGAAACGGGAGGUACGGUGAAAAUUUGAGUUGUUUGGUGUGGUGUGUGUGUGUAGAGAAAUUUGGUUGCAGGUUGCGGCGUCGGCAAUGGCGCGACGGAGUGGAACAAUGAAGGUAGGCCGUAAGCGUGGGGUUGUCCCGCGCGCUCACGGAGGUGAUCGGGGAAGGAAGGGAAAGUAUGGCGGUGUUGGAGGCGUGUGGGGGGGGGGGCCGUGGGGAAGGAUGGGGGUGGUACGGGUAGAACAGAGUGAGGAGGAUGUGAGAGAACAAUCUAGGGGCGCGGGUGGGAUAAAAACUCGAGAGGACAGAAGAGGUGUGUGUGUGGUGUGUGCGUGGGUGGGGAUGUGGAGGGAGUCGUUAAUAGGCGGUGAUGUGUUUCCCCGAAAUGCCCGGUGGUGAGGGCGUGUAUGUGGCGUGAAACGGUGCAAGCUGAGAGGUUAAUCGCCCUAGGUAGGCAAAAGUGUAUAGGAACCGGGAGGAGGCAGGAGGAUGGGGGAGGUAGUGGGUAGGGGGCAGUGGGAGAGGGAAGGGAGCUGGAAGGUACGGCAGAGGGGACUAGGAAGCAGGAUUUGAGGGGGAUUGGAUGGGAGAAGAAGAGUAAUGUGGUCAGUAGGAGUUAGUAAGUUAGAAUGCUUGGGACUAGCAUGGUACAAGGGGAGAUUUGGAGACCGUUGGUAGGGGCGGGCUGAGUUGCCGAUGUUGGUGGAGCAGGGAGGGGAUAUGUAUGUGAGUGUGGCCUAGCAAGGCCGAGAGGGGUAGAAGGGUGCAUGAUUCACGGAAGGUGGUGACGGGAGGUGGAAGUGUUUGUGUGUGUGCGUGGCCCAACGAGGUCGAGAGAUGGAGGAGUGAGUAUGAGUCGCCGAUGUUGGUGACGCGAGAGGAUGGUCUUUGUGUGUGUGUGUGGCCUCUUUAGGUCGAGAGGUCGAGGAGUGAGUAUGAGUCGCCGAUGUUGGUGACGCGAGACGAUGGUAUUUGUGUGUGUGUGUGGCCUCUUUAGGUCGAGAGGUGGAGGAGUGAGUGUGAGUCGCCGAUGUUGGUGACGCGGAAUAAUGGUGUGUGGGUGUGUGCGUGGCCUAUUAGGUCGAGAGGUGGAGAUAUAGAUGUGAGUCGCCGAUAUUGGUGACGUGGAAUGAAGGUGGUUGGGUGUGUGUGUGUGUGUGGCCUCGUAGAGGUCGGGAGAUGGGGGAAGAGUGUAUGAGUCACCGAUGUUGGUGACGAGAGUUAGUGGAUGAUUGUUGGGUGGGGGGGGGGUUGUUUGGCCGUGCUAUUGCCUUGGAAUGGGACCUUGAUAAUUAGUGUAGGGAGAGGGUUAUGAGUUGUUGGGGUUGGGUAGGAUAAAUGCAUAUAGACAUUUCUGGAAAUUCUUGUCACUGCAUAUCACACUUACAACUUGAUUUUUAUCGUAUUGAGUUAUGUGAACUCACUUCUCAUCAUUCACAGGUGGAGUAAGGACGGAAUUGGGAUCCGAGCGGCUGGUAACGGAGCCCCGUCGGUAGUGCCAUAGGGCACGAGUUUUGUUUGUGAUUUAAAGUAGUUUGAAAGGAUGGUUUAGUCUGGAUAUUGAAUAUCUAGGAAUGUUUGAUAUUGUGUUACUAUGUGUUGUAGAGGUGGAGAUGUAUGUACAAUUGAUUUGGAACAUGGAAGGUGGAUAAAUUUCUCUUGUGCAUGGUUGGAAUAAUAUGGAUUUCGGUAUUGUGUUGUAUGCGUGCUUUAUCGUACACCGUUAAGAAAAAA